This 253-nucleotide ribosomal RNA is filed under the name uncultured bacterium. RNAcentral describes it as "partial 16S ribosomal RNA". It matches the Rfam family "Bacterial small subunit ribosomal RNA", at positions 524 to 776 of the family's 1533-position model. The record is from RNAcentral.
UACGUAGGGUGCGAGCGUUGUCCGGAAUUACUGGGCGUAAAGAGCUCGUAGGCGGUUUGUCGCGUCGUCCGUGAAAACUUGGGGCUCAACCCCAAGCUUGCGGGCGAUACGGGCAGGCUAGAGUUCGGUAGGGGAGACUGGAAUUCCUGGUGUAGCGGUGAAAUGCGCAGAUAUCAGGAGGAACACCGGUGGCGAAGGCGGGUCUCUGGGCCGAUACUGACGCUGAGGAGCGAAAGCGUGGGGAGCGAACAGG